CCCUUAGAUGUCCUGGGCCGCACGCGUGCUACACUGACGCCUACAGCGAGUACUUCCCAGCCCCGAGAGGCGGCUGGUAAUCAGCAAUAGGCGUCGUGAUGGGGAUAGAUCUUUGGAAUUAUGGAUCUUGAACGAGGAAUGCCUAGUAAGCGCAGGUCAUUAGCCUGCGCUGAUUACGUCCCUGCCCUUUGUACACACCGCCCGUCGCACCUACCGAUUGAAUGGUCCGGUGAAGCCUCCGGAUUGGCGCGCACCUCGGUGCCGCCGAGAAGUUGGCUAAACCUUACCAUUUAGAGGAAGGUGAANUCGUAACA
This 314-nucleotide ribosomal RNA is filed under the name uncultured eukaryote. RNAcentral's name for it is "partial 18S ribosomal RNA". It matches the Rfam family "Eukaryotic small subunit ribosomal RNA", at positions 1470 to 1796 of the family's 1831-position model. The record is from RNAcentral.